Molecule: transfer RNA, 69 nt
Filed under: Hepatus epheliticus (calico box crab)
Lineage: Eukaryota; Metazoa; Arthropoda; Malacostraca; Decapoda; Calappidae
Description: tRNA-Met
Source: RNAcentral
AAACUCAGCCAUCUUAUUUAUAUUUUGUUAUUUUUCUAUAAAAAUAAUCUAUACUAAUUUUAAAUAAAA